GUCCGGCUGACGAGUCCCAAACAAAACGAAACGCGUGUCAAACCGGAU
This is a non-coding RNA of Schistosoma margrebowiei, 48 nucleotides long. The record is from Rfam. Lineage: Eukaryota; Metazoa; Platyhelminthes; Trematoda; Strigeidida; Schistosomatidae.